GAUGAAGAACGCAGUGAAAUGCGAUACUUGGUGUGAAUUGCAGAAUCCCGUGAACCAUCGAGUUUUUGAACGCAAGUUGCGCCCGAAGCCGUUAGGCCGAGGGCACGCCUGCCUGGGUGUCACACAUCGUUGCCCCAAUGCCAAUCGCCUCACUUUGUAGGUAUUUGCUUGGGGUGAAUGUUGGCCUCCCGUGAGCUUUGUCUCACGGUUGGUUGAAAAUCGAGUCCUUGGUAGGGUGUGCCAUGGUAGAUGGUGGUCGAGUUAGAACGAUACCGAUCAUGUGCAUGCUCCCCAAAAUAUGGCCUCUAUGACCCACACGCGUCUUUUGACGCUCAUGACGAGACCUCAGGUCAGGCGGGGCUACCCGCUGAAUUUAAGCAUAUCAAUAAGCGGAGGA
RNAcentral lists this unclassified non-coding RNA (397 nucleotides) under soil metagenome. Its description in RNAcentral is "partial contains 5.8S ribosomal RNA, internal transcribed spacer 2, and large subunit ribosomal RNA". The stretch from base 1 to 122 matches the Rfam family "5.8S ribosomal RNA", at positions 35 to 154 of the family's 154-position model. The record is from RNAcentral.